UCCAGUAGUUGCAAAUUUAUGGAAAUAUGAUGUCCACCGUCGUCACCGGCAUCCGAAGAAAGCGUCCAGAGACGGAGAUGAGAAUGGAUCGAUAGCCACCGCCGUCGCCAAUGGUGGUGGAAGAGAGAUUAACCCAAUGUGGCCUGGUACAUGCAGUCUGUUACGUGAUGAGGAUGGGCACCAAACGUUUCUACAAGCAUGUUGACAUGUGUCUAUUCUUGCACCACGUGUUCCAAAGGAUCUGUUUUUUACUUCGUCUUCUUAUGUCGCGGAAACUGUGAAGCACUGAAGCACGCUUCUGGUAUGCGGAAAGUAUUUUGUCAUCUUCUUUACAUCAAAGACCCAAGCUGGUCGUGGUAGUGGGUCGGAUUUUGUUAAUUGCACGUUGCAUUUCUUAACAUGUCAGUUUCAUAGUUGUGUGUUACUGGUAACCGGACACAUAAUAGACGAGUGUCGACCAUGUUACUACAAAGGAUGCGUAACAAAUCAGAUUGCAUAGAGCACCGCUGCAAGUAAGAUUUUGUUAAUUGCAUAUUGCAUUUUUUAUUAUGUCAGCUUCGUAGUUAUAAGUUGUAUGUAACGGGACAGGUAUGUAAGGUACAUGUAAUGGGUCAUAUUGCAACUGUACAUGUACAGAGUUCCCGUCGUAUGGCACAGGUCAAUUUCUAAACGGUUAGCUGCUAAUUUAAUAUAAUAAUAUUUCAUUUUUUUGGAGUUU
Molecule: long non-coding RNA, 718 nt
Organism: Helianthus annuus (common sunflower)
Lineage: Eukaryota; Viridiplantae; Streptophyta; Magnoliopsida; Asterales; Asteraceae
Exons: 2
Source: RefSeq, a predicted model, not a curated record